This 703-nucleotide long non-coding RNA is filed under the name Zonotrichia albicollis (white-throated sparrow). Its description in RNAcentral is "lncRNA (ENSZALG00000004061.1)". Lineage: Eukaryota; Metazoa; Chordata; Aves; Passeriformes; Passerellidae. The record is from RNAcentral.
GAUGACUUCAGUUUGCUUUGAAAAAAUACAUGUUUUGAAUUACCUAUUAUCUUGCACAAAGUGAAACUAUUUGCCCAACCCCGUGGUUGCCUUAGAGACUUGCUGCAAACAACAGAUAGAAGCAUGAGCUGAAUAUGAGGAAUGUCCAAAGGACAAGAAUGUGAGUGUUGAAACCAGAAAAAUGAAACAACAUGAUUGCAACAUCUGUCAAAGGGUGUAACCCUGUCUGGCUUGAUGAUUGAGGAAUCACCAGAGUGAAAGUGGAAUUUCAGAAUUUCAUCCUGUGCUCUUUGUGUCAGCACCCAGCAUCUUCCAUGGGCUGCUUUUGUUUCUCUUUGUGGCAAAGGAUCAUGUUGAGCAAGCACCAUCUGAAAAUGAGGAGCCAAAGUUGUUCCUGAGUCUCUUACGACUCAAAGCACACUGCAGAGGUUGUCCUGGAAAUAACUACCAGUUCACCAAUUUGUGUUUAAAGCAGUGGAGACAAUAUAUUCCAUCUAUCCCAAAAUUCAGUGUAUCAGCAGGGAAAGAACUUGCUUCACUGGCAGGAGGACUCCUGGGUGCUGACCCAAUGUCUGCUCCUUUUCUUGGACUGCAGAGUGUGGAAAACAACAAGCUCUGGGGUCCAGUGGAGGAGACUUAAUUGUUGGCUUGAGUGAUUCUCAGCUGGUUCUCUCCUUCCAAGCACGUGAAAUGCACAACCAGG